This 244-nucleotide long non-coding RNA is filed under the name Lathyrus oleraceus (garden pea). RNAcentral's name for it is "Pisum sativum (pea) long non-coding RNA (PSAT_LNC000356)". The record is from RNAcentral. Lineage: Eukaryota; Viridiplantae; Streptophyta; Magnoliopsida; Fabales; Fabaceae.
UUUUUCGGCGGUGUGAAGGUGGCGUACGGUGAGCCGUUAUAUACGGUUACAUUUGUGACCUCUCUUCGGAAGAAGAAGAACGGCGGUGGUUGUUUUUGUGGAUGUAGCAGUAAAUUCAUGACCAUUAAGCUAUUGAUAAACUUAACGUCAAUAAAACCAGAGUCGCCACCGCGCUUUUAUUGUUUCCAAGGGAAAAGGGAAAAGUACAAACAAAACCCAAAGAUAAGAAGUUUUCAAAUCAAAA